Molecule: ribosomal RNA, 497 nt
Filed under: uncultured bacterium
Lineage: Bacteria
Description: partial 16S ribosomal RNA
Rfam family: Bacterial small subunit ribosomal RNA
Source: RNAcentral
GAUGAACGCUGGCGGCGUGCCUAAUACAUGCAAGUCGAGCGAACAGACGAGGAGCUUGCUCCUCUGACGUUAGCGGCGGACGGGUGAGUAACACGUGGAUAACCUACCUAUAAGACUGGGAUAACUUCGGGAAACCGGAGCUAAUACCGGAUAAUAUAUUGAACCGCAUGGUUCAAUAGUGAAAGACGGUUUUGCUGUCACUUAUAGAUGGAUCCGCGCCGCAUUAGCUAGUUGGUAAGGUAACGGCUUACCAAGGCAACGAUGCGUAGCCGACCUGAGAGGGUGUCCGCCCACACGGGACCUGAACCACGGCCCAAACUCCUAGGGGGGGAAGAAGUAGGGAAUUUUCCGAAAGGGGCAAAGGCCGGACGGAGCACCGCGGGGGGAGUGAGAAAGGUCUUCGGAUCGUAAAACUCUUUUAUGAGGAAAAAAAAAAUGUUAAAGAAACUAUGCCCGUCUUGAGGGUACCUAAUAAGAAGCCCCGGCCAAGCUCCGUC